This is a long non-coding RNA of Betta splendens (Siamese fighting fish), 1594 nucleotides long. RefSeq lists it as uncharacterized. The record is from RefSeq and is a predicted model, not a curated record. NCBI's taxonomy places the organism in Eukaryota, Metazoa, Chordata, Actinopteri, Anabantiformes, Osphronemidae. The transcript is spliced from 4 exons.
ACACCUCCCUCAUGGCUGCUGUGUUUAAAGCCAAUGCAAGAUGGAUAUAAACAGUGUAGCAGGUGAACCAGUGGCCACUGACUGACUACAACAACAGUAUAUCACAGCAGUCUUUUUAUAAACCAUAUAAUACCACAAAAUAUUAAAAACGUGAUUUUUACGACAUACAGUACAACCUUAUCUUUAAGAGUAAGAAAGUAGAAUAAAAACCUCAACUGUACCUUUUAAAACCCAUUCAUGUCAGUGCUGCCACUUCCAGACGCUGUUUAAACACGGGAGCAGGUCUUCACUGUAAAAAAAAACAAAAAAUAAUUAGCUCCCUCUUCACUGAAAAACGAUGGAAGUCCAGAAACCUCGUCCCUGUCACUGCUGUCGGUGCCAUGUUUAAAGUGAAAACAGACCCGGUUCUACUGCACGUGGGACCUGGAUCCAGGUCUCUAGAGCUUCACACUGUUUAAAAUGCACUGUCACAGAAUCCCCACGAAACAACACAGCAGCUUGGACUCAACUCAUUUCAUAAGUGUCACUGUUUCCUUACAAUGAACGGAGGCCUCGCUACAGACCACACUGAUCUGCAGCUCCUUCAGCAUUAGUUAUUAUUAUUAUUUUCAAUCUGGUGGAUUAAAUAUUUGAUCAACCGGAGGUUUGAGGGAAACUUUGAUGCGUUUAGAAACGCUGGUUAGUGUCACUGUGGUUCUGCAGGCGAACGUUCUCCUGCACCUCAGCUAACCCGCUAGGCAGGUUAGCGGAUGCUAACGGAACCUGUAAGCUAACCUGAAAACAGGCUAUUUACAGCAACAGCGGCUGAAUACGGCAGAUAUGCACGUGUUUCAGUGUGAAACCUGCCAGCAUUUCUCAUGUUUAUCAUUUAAAGACACAGGUGCGUAAGUUGCGUUCACGGACCCAGCCGUGUGAAGGACAUCGGAGCACUGAAACCCCGACGUCUUCAUCUGACCUGAUUACAGAGAAAACUGACAGCUGUGACGUUCGCCGCUCUUUGUUAUGGAUAAAAUUACCAUCAUAUGCAGAUGAGGGUUAUUAGAAGCUUUAGUGUUGUGUAACGAGCUCCCACGCAAGUCAACAGUCCAUCACGGGGCCAACACAUGGAGACACAACCUCACACAUGAAUGGGCCCAUUCCAGUUGUACCACAACUGCAUGUGUUUGAACGGUGGGAGGAACUGGAAAACCUGUAAGAAACCAGCAGACACAGGGAACAGUGAAUGUCAUGUGUCAGGUCCCAGCGCUGCCUCCUCAGGCUUUGAGGACCCGAUUUGGGGACAACUCCGGCCUUUUGCACAUGAACUACCCAGACAUGCGUGACAUGCUGGUGGUUCAGUGACUGCACCGUCUGGGCACUUCCUCAGACGGUGUGACAGAAACGGGGUUUGGAACUGGUCAGACAGGACUUCAUUAGAGCAGAGGUGCAAAGCCAGCAGCUCAAGCUAACGUGACAUGAGGACAUCAGACCUGCUAGACAUCAGCUAAUCUUAUCGUCCUGUGUUAUGUCAGACACACCCAGGCCUUCUUUAUGCAUCUGUGCUGAUCAGAUUCCUUCUGGAUGAAUUACACAAGAGUGAGCGUUUAACUACAGU